Molecule: unclassified non-coding RNA, 227 nt
Filed under: uncultured fungus
Lineage: Eukaryota; Fungi
Description: sequence contains ITS1
Source: RNAcentral
GUAAUUUUAAUUCUAAUAGGUUUUAUCCUAUUUCAAAUAAAUUCAGACAUGUUUUUUACAAUAGUUUAAAUUUGGAGGUCUUCUGGCGACGAGAAAAUAAUUAAACUUUCAAAAUUCGCCGAAGCAACAAUUUUAUAUAAACAAGGGUUGGGAUUUUAAUUCCAAACGAUUUCUCGAAUGGAUUAAAGUCUCUUUUAAUGAUCCUUCCGCAGGUUCACCUACGGAAA